Molecule: ribosomal RNA, 912 nt
Filed under: Acidithiobacillus ferrooxidans
Lineage: Bacteria; Pseudomonadati; Pseudomonadota; Acidithiobacillia; Acidithiobacillales; Acidithiobacillaceae
Description: bacterial SSU rRNA
Rfam family: Bacterial small subunit ribosomal RNA
Source: RNAcentral
UGCUGCGUAGCUGUACGUGACGUCUGUCAUGAAUUCGCGUGGCUCACCUCUGGGAAUGGCGUGUCGAAGCGUAGUACUUAUAGUAUGGGACGACGAUGCUGGAGAUUCUCUGGUGUAGCAGAUGAACUAGUGUUGAGUAUGUUGAAGAACCAUCAGUAGCAGAAGUACCGUCAUCCUGUCCCAUCACUGACGCUGACGUGCCGAAAGCGUGGGGAUGCAAACAGGAUGAGAUACCCUGGUAGUCCACUCCCUUCAGCGAUGAAUGCUAUAUGUUUGGUGCACUAGCGAAUUGAGUGUCGUAGCUAACGCGAUAAGUACUCCGCCUGGGAAGUACGGCCGCAAGGUUAAAACUCAAAGGAAUUGACGGGGGCCCGCACAAGCGGUGGAGCAUGUGGUUUAAUUCGAUGCAACGCGAAGAACGUUACCUGCGCAUGACAUGUCCGGAAUUCAGCAGAGAUGCGGGUGUUUCCUUCGGGGAAUCCCGUACACAGCUGCUGCAUGGCUGUCGUCAGCUUGUGUCGUGAGAUGUUGGGUUUUGUCCCGCAAAGAGCGCAAUCCUUGUCCUUAGUUGCCUGCGGUACGGUCGGGCACUCUAGGGAAACUUCCGGUCACAAACCGGAGGAAGGUGGGGAUGACGUCAAGUCGUCAUGGCCUUUAUGUCCAGGUCUCAGACGUGCUACAAUGGCGCGUACAGAGGGAAGCCAAGCCGCGAGGUGGAGCAGUCCCCAGAAACCGCGUCGUAGUUCGGAGGGCAGUCUCCAACUCGACUUCAUGAAGUCGGACUCGCUAGUACUCGCGGAUCAACAUGCCGCUGAUAACGCGUUUAAAGGGCCUAUACACACCGCCCGUCACCCCAUGGGAGUGUCAUCUACCUAGAAGCAGCUAGCACCCGUUCCGGGUAGCAGGCGUGGU